RNAcentral lists this non-coding RNA (27 nucleotides) under Homo sapiens (human). Lineage: Eukaryota; Metazoa; Chordata; Mammalia; Primates; Hominidae. The record is from RNAcentral.
UGUCUCGAGCCACAAAAUCCACAGAAA